GUCGGCUUUGGGGAUUUUCCAUGGAGAAGGGGGAAGUAGUACGCCGUACCAAACUCGGUCCAGCCGCCGGCGGCGGCGGAGGACGAGGAGGAGGAGCACGCCGUCCCAAGAUGGGUCCAGGCGGCGGAGGAGCCGACCUCAUCAGCGCCCUCCCGGAGGAUCUGCUUCUCCAGGUCCUCGGGUGCCUCCGAUGCGCCCGCGCCGCCGCGCGCACCAGCAUCCUCUCCCGCCGGUGGCGCGGCCUCUGGACCCGCCUCCCCGACCUCGUCUUCCGCGGCGUCGCGCUCCGCUCCCUCCAAGCGGCGCUCGCCUCGGUCCAAGCCGCGGCCGGCCCCGUGGGGGUGACCCUCCUCGACAUGUGCGUUCCCGACGCGCUCCUACACUCCGUCCGCGAGUACGACAUGCCCCCGCUGCUCCACGCCGCCGCGGCGCUCUCGCCGGUGGACCUCCGCCUCGCCGUGGGGGAGGGCACGCAGCGCCUGUACGUGCAGGUGGAGGUGCCCCGCCUCCCCCGCGCCAUCUCGGUGGAGCUUCAAGGCCUGGAUCUCGUGUUCGCCGACCCGCGCCGCAGCUGGCUGGGGUUCCCCGCGCUGGAGACGCUCUCCCUCACCGGCUGCCGCGCCAACCUCACGGACCUGGUCCUCCGCUGCCCGCGCCUGCGCGUCUUCAGACUCAGGGAGGACCACGGCGCCCACCACAUGAACAUCAUCAUCAGGUCCUCGUCGCUGCAGGAGCUCCAUGUGGACACCAGGAUCCCCUUCACCUACCGCAUCGACAUCAGGGCGCCCGCGCUCAAGCGAUUGGCCAUGUCCUUCAGCACCAGCGACAAGAUCAUUGUGCUGGUGUCCGUUUUGGCGCCAAUGCUGGAGACGGUCUCAUGGCGCUGCACCUAUUCCACAGUGUCUGCCCGGUUUGGUCUUUGGGGCCUCUCAGAGGUGAGGUUACAGACGGAGGAGAACAAUGGACAUGGCGGGCAGCUUCCUCCUCACGUCAAUGUCCUGUCGCUCUUCGUGGCUGCAGAUGAUUCAUAUGAGUUUCCAGAGGAAGUCAGCCUUAGGACGGAGAUAGAGAAACAUAUGGUUACCCAUUUCUCUGUUUGGAGCUACGUGUCGAAACGUGGGGGCAUGUUUUUGGAGCAUUUGCAUUGCACAUCCUUGAAAUGGAUCAGAUUUCCACUGCUAUACAAAGCCUUAAAGUCAUCCUGCUGAGUUCAGAGGAUGAUGAAGCAUGCCCACAAAAUUGCCCUUGUGAGGAGCCCAGUAACUGGAGAAGCCAAACUAUCUCCUUGACCAAUCUUGAAAAAGUGGAAAUCAAAGGCUUCCAAGGAGAAGGUCAUGAGUUUGAUUUCUUGAAACUGGUAUUUAGAUGCACACCAAUGCUGAAAACAAUGUCUGUGAGGCUGUCAGAUGAGGUCACAGCAAGUAACGACGAUUGCUGCAAGAAAAUACAUGACGUCUUCAAGAUGUAUCCUUUUGUGGAAUGCAAUGUGAUUGUGGAUCUUAGUCCUGAGUCAACAGACAGCAGCCAUGGUGGUGCCUCGACAUGAUCCUCAGUUGCCACAUUUGUCGAAUCAGGUGGGUUGUCAAAGAGACCGUCUUCUACCGUGCUGGCUGACUCCACUAGCUACCUAGUUCCAGGAUUUUGCUUGGUGGCUUGAUAUGUUAUUUUGCUAUUGCAGUGGAGCCACAGGCACGAAAUGUUGCGCUCUUAGUUAAUGCAUUAGCGGUAGCCAUUGCCUGAUUGCGUAGCAAUUACCAGAUUUAGUGGACUCAACUUAUGUCAGCCUGCCCAAGUGAUGUUCUGUAAGCCUAUUAUGGCUUGUAUGCUUUUCUUGGCCAGCAUGUUCCUGAUUAGCUAACUCGGUAUGGCACUACAUGGUCGUUUAAGGCAUCACUGCUUAAAAUGUUGGAAGGAAAAAUGAAGUUGCAUACUACACUAAAACAUCUGGCGCACAACUGCGUUGUCAAGUGUUGUGGAAAUGGGUAGCACCUACAGUGGCCAGAGCUUUUCAUGACGCCGUCGCCUCAUUGUGGCCUCAACUGGGUGUGAUGAAGCCUGUUGGAGUUGAGUUUGUGCUUUGGUUCAUUUGAUGCUCUGUACCAUCCUAAUCAAACUAGCCUCAGAUUCAAACUGCAGCAAUCUGGAAUAGUUUCUGUGCAUUCCGGAUGGGUUGAUCCCAUGGUUGUCUGAAUUUUAUGUAGUAUGAAAAGGUUUGUGACAUUCCCAUAUGAAAAAGAUUUGCUGUUCUU
Molecule: RNA transcript, 2249 nt
Organism: Triticum dicoccoides
Lineage: Eukaryota; Viridiplantae; Streptophyta; Magnoliopsida; Poales; Poaceae
Gene name: MEIOTIC F-BOX protein MOF-like
Exons: 4
Source: RefSeq, a predicted model, not a curated record